GAAGGGGGCUAGCGUUGYUCGGAAUCACUGGGSGUAAAGSGCASGUAGGUGGGUCAUUUAGUCAGGGGUGAAAUCCUGGAGCUCAACUCCAGAACUGCCUUUGAUACUGAUGAUCUUGGAGUCCGGGAGAGGUGGGUGGAACUGCGAGUGUAGAGGUGAAAUUCGUAGAUAUUCGCAAGAACACCAGUGGCGAAGGCGGCUCAYUGGCCCGGUACUGACACUGAGGUGCRAAAGCGUGGGGAGCAAACAGGAUUAGAUACCCUGGUAKUCCACCCCGUAAACGAUGGAUGCUAGCCGUUGGGGAKCUUGSUSUUCB
This 316-nucleotide ribosomal RNA is filed under the name uncultured bacterium. RNAcentral describes it as "partial 16S ribosomal RNA". It matches the Rfam family "Bacterial small subunit ribosomal RNA", at positions 527 to 840 of the family's 1533-position model. The record is from RNAcentral.